RNAcentral lists this ribosomal RNA (253 nucleotides) under uncultured bacterium. RNAcentral's name for it is "partial 16S ribosomal RNA". It matches the Rfam family "Bacterial small subunit ribosomal RNA", at positions 524 to 776 of the family's 1533-position model. The record is from RNAcentral.
UACGGAGGGUGCGAGCGUUGUUCGGAAUUACUGGGCGUAAAGCGCGUGCAGGCGGCCGACUAAGUCAGGUGUGAAAGCCCACGGCUCAACCGUGGAGGGUCAUUGGAAACUGGGGGACUUGAGUACAGAAGAGGAAAGUGGAAUUCCACGUGUAGCGGUGAAAUGCGUAGAGAUGUGGAGGAACACCAGUGGCGAAGGCGACUUUCUGGUCUGUAACUGACGCUGAGGCGCGAAAGCGUGGGGAGCAAACAGG